This 34-nucleotide ribosomal RNA is filed under the name Gastrolobium epacridoides. Lineage: Eukaryota; Viridiplantae; Streptophyta; Magnoliopsida; Fabales; Fabaceae. The record is from RNAcentral.
UGUGCGAUCAUACCAGCACUAAUGCACUGGAUCC